UGCUUUGCUGUGCAUUCUGUCCAAUUCUUUGUUCAAAAUGCCAAGAACCUGGACAAUUUGCAGUCAAGACCCUCCACCGGGAUAUGAACUUCCAAUUAUAUCAUUGGACUUGACUACUCCAUUUCUUUCCACAUUUAAAAAUCAAUCAGGGAGAAGCUAUUUUGAGAACUUAACACAGUAUUUAACAUGGGAUUUCUGAAUGAAGACAGUUUAUGGAUGAAUAAGGGCAACUUUGGUUCUUUUCAGAAGGUGCGUGAUCUGGAUGGCUGAAGUUGCUGAUUUUGGGGGGUAAUCUACAAGGAAAAGGUGAUGAAAAUACCAGAAACAGUCUGUAUCCUACUAUGUGGCUAACAUAUGAGGAAGUCUCAACAUGCAAACUUUGGCAGAUAAAAUCUUAGGCCAUGGACAAGACCAUGUCCCUUUGUGAAGACAAUGCCCACAGCAAAAUAUUUUUCAUUAAAUCAAGGAAAUGGAUACUAGUGAACUAAGAUUUUAUAUAUAACUAAUAAUAAAUACCAAUUAUUUUUGCAAGCAUAUCUCAUCACUGAAAUAUACAUCUGUAUUUCAAUGUAUUAUCCUAAUAUUGAUUUCCCUGGGGGAAUCAAGAAAAGGAUUAUCUAUUUAAAGAGAAGGGAAUAUCAAGCCUGUUAUUGCCACAAUGUGGAAGAAUCAACAAAAUAACUGUUUUCAAAUUUCCAGAUAUUAAUUUUGUCAUCAUGUAUACAAACUUAUUUACCAAACAUGCUUCAUUCUACAUUUCUUUCUUGACAGGUUUUACAAUCUUUGUUAUUCUGUUUUCAAACAAAAAAUGUAAAAUGCCAUUUCUAUCUUUAUCACUAAAGCUUCCCAUCAACACGUUUAUCUCUUUUCACCCACAUAUCUGAUUGUAUUUUGAAUGUAAAAUAAAAACAGGCUUUAAAAUGAAAAGGCUUUUAUAAAAUAAAAAUUUGCUGUAGAAGAGAAAAAAAAUGUAAGAAACUCAGAUUUCCACUGAAUUUCCAAGGGCCUGUGGGGGCCUAGUAGUGAAAGAGUGAUAUUUUAUAAGUGAGUAAGUAUGAAUGUUCUCAUAGGUUUUGUGUAAAGAUGAUAUACUUGUAUUAAUGAAUGUUCUGUAACAGGGAUAUUCUUUUGGUUAGUGGUCCUUUUGAAGAUGUCAAGAUGAGAUUGUGUGUCAUCCAGAUCACAUGACAUAUAUCAUUCCUCUCAGUCCUUGAAUUAUAAUAGUUAUAAGGCAAAAACAACACUUGACCUUUUGGGUUCCCUGAUAUGUUUACAAAAUAAUUUGAGUUUUCAAGUGUAAUAUGAUUUAAAUAUGUGUGCUAAUGCUUCACCAAUGAUUAGGAGUAUCUGCUAUAUGCAAUAUGUGAUUUGUCCUUACUUAUAUUAUCAAUAAUUAUGACCUUUUAAUUUCUCCACUCUUUUAAGUAUAAAACUUAGGUGCAGUUGACAAUGUUUUUGAAAAAAAUUGGGUCUUAAUAUUUCCCAACAGAAUUACGUUUUAAAAUACAAACGCCUCAUUUUAUACAUGGGUGUAAUAUUUCAAAGAUGGUCUAGUAGAAAUUUAACCUCAUUUAAAGCACAGACUGAAUAGGAUGGUUGGAGACUUUAUUAUUGCUGUAACUCAAUGCAGUUUAAAUGCUACAAAAUUAAGUGAUAUUGCAACAAAGUAAGAAUUGUAAAGGCAGCCAAACUCUCUUAAUCUUUAAGUCUUUUAGGGAAUAUGUAAGAGCUAAUGUAAAUAGGGGCACUGUGCAUAGAUGGAUAUAGAGCAGAUUUCAGCAGAGAAAGCAUCUUCAUGUCAAAGUAAGUACAAGGGAUGAAAGGGACUAGUCAACCAACAUUCUAGUUGUAAUUUUUUCUCACCACUACUUUUCUCUUGUCUUAUUCAUAAUUGCCCUUCAUUGAUCUUGCUGACACCACUGAUUAUUAUUAGCUGCUUUAAUAUAUGUAGUGCAGGUCUCAGUGACUAAUACAAAUUGUGAAGUCCUAAAUUAGGGAGAAGUAGUUGGGCUGGUGGGACAAAGGGAAAGCAAAAUGAGAAAGCAGAUAAGUUUUAAGUCUGCCUUUCUACAUAGUCCAGAACACAUAGUCUUCUUGUGCCCAGUUAUCACAAGACCCUCAGCUGAUGGAAAAAUGCAAGUUAGCUCACUGCAACCUUGGUGUUAUCAGUACUGCAUAGAGCCCUCUUUAGCACAAAGCAGAAGCACCAUCCUAUAAAAUCUCCAGCAAGCCUUUGUGUCCUUGCAGUCAGCUCCUCUCUUGCUGACUUGCCCAUUGCUUCCUUGCAAUGUAUUUUCAUACUGUCUCUAAUGAAACUGCCUUUCUUUACCUACAACUGUCUUUGUAAAUUCAUUUUACUGCUCAUACAAUACUGGCCUCAGUUGCAACCUGCAACACAAAUAUCAAAAAAGGAGGAUGCUACCUGGCAGCAUUAUGCAAGAGAAUGGAGACUCACAAAUAUGUGUAGGAGUAUGUGUGUAAGUGUAAGAAUAUGAGUUACCAAAGAUGGCCAAAGGUACCUGAGAGCAACCAGUGUGACUGUUGGAGAAAGAGGAAAAUUGAGAAAAAUCAGGAUUCCAUGGGUAGGUUAACUAGUGAAUGAGAAUAUGGAAAUGAAAAUACAGGAAAAAGAGAAGCGUGUAGCUUACUAGUUGAUGGAAACAAAGGUACAAAACAUGUAGGAUAGUGGGUUUUAAACAUUUUGAUUAUUAUGUUAACAAUUAGGACUAACACCUCAAUGGAACACUGAGUUCCCAUAGCACUGUUUGAAAACAUCUUAGUGUAUGUCUAUACAUUUAGUAAAUGUCUGAAGAACCUCCAUGUGAUAUGGUAAACACUGGUGACACAGAACGUUAAUUCCUAUGUAUGAGAUUAGGCUACCAACUUAUUGAUGAGAACAAAUAAUUAUUGUGUCAGAAAGUAUAUCAGUAAUAUUUGUAGUCGAUAAAUUUAUAUUAGUAAUAAAAGUUAAAUGUUGAUAGGAAAAUAAUCACUUUUAAUGUUAUAUAUACAUAUAAUUUAGAUAUAUGUAUGUUUAACUGGCAACUACUCAACUAUAAUUUUAAUUACUAUUUUAUGUCAGAACCUUAGAGCUUAAUAUAUGCAGAGAUUUGUUUCUAGAUAAUAAGUUUGUUUUCAUUUAUCUUUAUCCCUUUAUCCAUUUCUCUCAUG
RNAcentral lists this long non-coding RNA (3171 nucleotides) under Homo sapiens (human). Its description in RNAcentral is "HSALNT0301959". The record is from RNAcentral. Lineage: Eukaryota; Metazoa; Chordata; Mammalia; Primates; Hominidae.